CCUCCCCACACCCACUCCCCAGGAACCGGCAGCCAUGUGGUCGGAAGGGGCCUGUGGCGCAAUGGCCCGGAAGCCAGUGACACCAUGUUCCCUUCCUAAGAACUGUUCAGCCCCUUGGGGAAGACGCUGCUGGGUACAGCUGAGGCCUGGCCACCCAGGCACUGAGACCAUAGGCGCUCCUACUAUCUCCCCAGGCCUGAAGGGGAGAGCGCCCGGGGAAGGGAUGCUUUGGCUCCCUUGAAUGAGGAAACUGAGAAGCUCAGCGCCCGGCUCUGGGCUGGAGAACCACAUCCGGCAGGAGAGCGUCCUGCCCCUCUCGGCGACUGCAGACCACCCUCCACCCUCGGGGGAAAGCUACACGCCUUUACUUUCCCGUCCCUGCAUUACCCUGGGUGGAAACAGUUAAGAAGAGGGGGCACCCCAGCCCGGGCUCUCGAGUCUGAAAGACCGUGCUCGGAGCAUGCAGCUAACCGAGGUGUGGUGAGCUGGCCCCAGGGCCCACGGCUGCCAACAGCAAAGAGGGCUUAGAUAGUCGUUAGCUCGGGCUGCCUUAACAACGGAGCACAGACCAGAAGUCUUAAACAACAGAAACGUAUGUUUGCGCCAUCCUGGAGCUAGAAGUCUAAGACUGAGGGGUCAGCAGGAUUGAUAAUAUCCUCAGCGUCUCUCCUUGGCUCGUAGAUGGCUGCCUUCUCGCUGUCUCCUCACAUGGCUGUCCCCCAGUCUGUGCGUCUGUCCUAAACUCCUCUUCAUAGAAGGACACCAGUCAUAUUGGAUUAGGGCCCCCCACCAUGACCUCAUUGUACCUUACCUCUUUGAGGACCCUAUCUCCAAAUGCAGCCUCGUUCUGGGGGACUGUGGGGUUUGGGCUUCAACACAAGAAUUAAAGGGAUAAAAUUCUGCCCAUAA
Molecule: long non-coding RNA, 909 nt
Organism: Ailuropoda melanoleuca (giant panda)
Lineage: Eukaryota; Metazoa; Chordata; Mammalia; Carnivora; Ursidae
Exons: 2
Source: RefSeq, a predicted model, not a curated record